This 200-nucleotide ribosomal RNA is filed under the name uncultured bacterium. Its description in RNAcentral is "partial 16S ribosomal RNA". It matches the Rfam family "Bacterial small subunit ribosomal RNA", at positions 8 to 222 of the family's 1533-position model. The record is from RNAcentral.
AGAGUUUGAUCAUGGCUCAGAAUCAACGCUGGCGGCGCGCCUAACACAUGCAAGUCGAACGAGAAAGUGGAGCAAUCCAUGAGUACAGUGGCGUACGGGUGAGUAACACGUGGGUUAUCUACCUCUUAGUGGGGAAUAACUCUGGGAAACCGGAGAUAAUACCGCAUAAUCUCGAGAGAGGAAAGCAGCAAUGCGCUGAG